This 484-nucleotide ribosomal RNA is filed under the name uncultured bacterium. RNAcentral's name for it is "partial 16S ribosomal RNA". It matches the Rfam family "Bacterial small subunit ribosomal RNA", at positions 30 to 507 of the family's 1533-position model. The record is from RNAcentral.
AUUGAACGCUGGCGGCAGGCCUAACACAUGCAAGUCGAGCGGAUGAAGGGAGCUUGCUCCUGGAUUCAGCGGCGGACGGGUGAGUAAUGCCUAGGAAUCUGCCUGGUAGUGGGGGAUAACGUCCGGAAACGGGUGCUAAUACCGCAUACGUCCUGAGGGAGAAAGUGGGGGAUCUUCGGACCUCACGCUAUCAGAUGAGCCUAGGUCGGAUUAGCUAGUUGGUGGGGUAAAGGCCUACCAAGGCGUCGAUCCGUAACUGGUCUGAGAGGAUGAUCAGUCACACUGGAACUGAGACACGGUCCAGACUCCUACGGGAGGCAGCAGUGGGGAAUAUUGGACAAUGGGCGAAAGCCUGAUCCAGCCAUGCCGCGUGUGUGAAGAAGGUCUUCGGAUUGUAAAGCACUUUAAGUUGGGAGGAAGGGCAGUAAGUUAAUACCUUGCUGUUUUGACGUUACCAACAGAAUAAGCACCGGCUAACUUCGUG